Molecule: long non-coding RNA, 3274 nt
Organism: Onychostruthus taczanowskii (white-rumped snowfinch)
Lineage: Eukaryota; Metazoa; Chordata; Aves; Passeriformes; Passeridae
Exons: 3
Source: RefSeq, a predicted model, not a curated record
GAGCUGCUCGCGCUCCGCAGCGGUGCGCUGUCGGCGCGCGGCGGUCGCGUGGUGCCGUGGGGGCUUCCCGGGCACCUCCCGGGCACUGCCGGGAGCGGGCGAGCGCCGGCCCGCCGGGAACGGGGAACGGGCAGCCCCGGCCCGCCCCCGCCACUGCCCUCACCACACGGGUACCGGCACUGCCGAGAGACACCGGCAAACAGCCCCGGCCUGGAGCUGACAGUCUCCCGCUCCGCGUGGAUAGCAGCUCCUGGUGCUACUAGUGACUCUCGGUGCUGCAGAGUAAGAGUUCAGGACUUCCCGUGCCCUAGAUGCCCCAUACCCUGUCCUGGGCUGACACAGAUCCGAGAGAGUUUCUGCAGCACAAGACAAAAUGUGAUUGAUCCAGCGUUCCAGCUGGAGGGGCUGCCUGAGCUGUCUUACUGCGCAGUCACUGGUGUCAGCAAGAGGAACAGUCUACGUAAGUGCACUGGGAGCUGGGAAACCAUGCUGAGUUAAAACUGCUGCCUAAGAGCACCACAGAUGAGCCUGGAGAUCUGACUGCCACUGGGAAAUGUGAGCCAAGGGGAACAAGUUUGAGACAGGUGAACUGGCAGAUGCUUAUACAAAGGCUGCCAUGAAGAAGAAGGCUUUUGUUUGCUGUAUGAUUCUGCCUCAUUGCCUCACAACAGAAGACAGACAAACGUCUUGGUGUUUGUACAGCAGAAUGGUAUCAACAAAGCACCUUCUGAGCUUGCAACAUGUGCAAACAGAAGCCCAUGUGCAAUAUGGAAGACUAUACUAGAUAAGGGGGUUCCAGCUUAAUGUUGGUAAAUACCACUCAGGGUGGAAAUGGAGCUCAGUGCAGGAGAAGUGUGGGGGUGUCUGAACUCAAAACCAGAAACUCUUGAGUUUUGAGGAAGAGCUUGCUUUUUGUUUGACCUAAGCAUGUACUGACCUGAUUUGUCAGCCCACUUGUUUCCCAAGACAGGCCUUUUUGAAGGAAAAAGUAUGUUUUUAGGGAGACAAGAUAGCUGCCCAGAAUAAUCCUCUCCAACUUCCCACCAAGGACUUGGUGACUGUUGCUGAAGGUACUGUAUUUUUCCACAUGCACAGAGAUACUGCGAGACUUAAGGGCAAAAAUUGCCUGUGCCUGUCUCUAUUCCAGAAGAAUCAGUUCUGUAACAGAUUUGCAACACAAAGGAUGAGAGUAAAGCACCCGUCUUACUUGUUUGCCUGGGCAGCUAAGGAUUACAUUCCAGGGAACAAAAAAUAGAAAAUAAAACAAAACAAACAAAACAGAACACACACCAAAAAAAAAAAAAGGGAAAAAGAACCCCCCACAGAACAAAAGAAAAAAAACCAACAAAACAAAAAAAAAACCAAAAAAACAAACAAACAAAAAAAAAACCAACAAAAAACAACAGUUACAAAGAUUUAAACAUCCAGUAUUAAAAAACUGAUUACAUGGUCAGACCUGUGUAACAUUUAUGUAUGGUGCAUAUUGUUGUCUCCCAAUCUUUUAACCUGUGGGCUUCAGACAUUACUUAUUAUGUUUAAAGGCUUUGGAUUUGUCUGUCAUUUAUGAUCACUGCUUUGUAAAUACUAACAGCAAGUGACUUGAUAAAUGGAGAAUUCAUUUCAGCUAUUUUUGUUACUGCUGGGGGCUUGAAAAUGUCCUUUACAUAAACUAGAGAAACAGCACCAGCAAUAGAAACAUCCAGUCUAUUGCUUAUUUUUCCUUUGUAUUUUUUUUCUGUUGACCCAAGAACUAAAAUUUGUGCAAUCAUGUCCAAAAUGCUUUGCAGCAGUGAUUAUGCCUUUAUUCUGCUUGAUGAAAAGCCUUCUGCAGAGCUUGUUCUUUAGCACCUCUCUUCUACAUAUUUGCCAAAAAAAAAGAGUACUUUCCAUAGCCUCAUUUACUUCCCAGAAUCAAAGGAUUUGGGGCUUAAUAAUGUUUAUCCAUUGAAACUUUCCCCACACCUUGCAGAUACCCUAUAAGAACAUGCAGUUAGGAACUUAUUUUUGUGUGAGGAAAUAGCUCAAAGUAACAUUCCAUCCCAGCUGUCUCAUGCCAUCUCCUGUGCAUACACUUUUAUGUUUGGCAUAACUACACAGAUGAGUUACUGUGAAAUAAUAAGGGUAUGACUUUACAAGGUAACUACUGCAUUUCAAAACCACUGGUUUACAUGUUUUCACAUACUGUUAAUACCAGGAAGUGUUCUUUCUCAUUCUCCCUUGAGGAUAAUUACUAGCCAUUUUGAAAAAAAAAAUAGUGAAGAUGAUACUAUGAGUAGAACCUUAUUUCUUUACUUGGUCUUAAAACAGUGAAAACUUUUAGUGAAUCUGCAUUGAAAUUAAUUUGAGUGAAGUUAUAUAAAGGUACUUACACAGUAAUAUUUUUCUUCCAGGAAUAUGGGGUAGGACAAAUAUCAGUACAGACUGGAGCUUUGCUUUUGAAGUCUCAUCCAGGUUAGCCUAAGUGGCUUAUGUGAGCUUCACUUUGAAGAGAGAAACCCUAAGGAGGCCAAAGGUUGGUCUGCAGCUGCACACUUGUGCAGUUACCAUUCAUCACUUGCAAACACGUUUUGCAGUGUUUACCUCACACAGAUAAACUAGCAGAGCCCUAAGCUUCUAGCAUAGAUACAAUUAGGUCAGCAGACAUUAUAGAAAGGCAGCUUUUGAACAUUUUGGUUGCAUUUGUUAUGAUAAAAUGUUGCUAAUUAUACAGGAAGAUGGCCACUUCCAAAGGAAUUUAAUAAAAGCUGUAGUACUUGUAUGGCUGUUUGCAGUCUACCUGUGCUGUGAGCUCAGCAUUCUACAUUUGGUGGGCAGGUGCCAGUCACUCUGCAAGUAUUUGUUCCUGAUCAAGUAGUCACUUUUAGUGGUGGAUUAACAAUUCCUUCUCCUAAUGAGGAUUGUAAACAAACAUGGACAUAUUGGAUUCUCGUAAAACAAUGUUCACUUGUUCCAGCUCAGAAACUGGUGAGUGCUGGCAGGGUAGCAGGUGUUAGACGAUGCUGCUGCAGGCUGCCUCCAGCCAAUUUCCAUCAAGCUUAAAUGAGCAUGUUGCUAAAGCCUGCAAACAUUAAAAAUGGCAGCACAUUUUUAAUGCAAAAAAUAAUUUGAAGGUGCACAUAAAUUAUCAGAGCUGGUGAAGGUCAUGAUCUUGCCCACCUUCCCACAUUCCCCAUCUUGCCUGGUGCUAAUGUGAGUCCCCAUGUGCCCAUCAGCUACCCUGCAUGUUUCUUUCUCUAUUUCCUCUCAGAUAGACCAGCUGGGUUUACCCUGUGAC